CCUUACGGGUUGUAAACCUCUUUCGGCAGGGACGAAGAUGACGGGACCCGACGAACAAGCCCCGGCUAGCUCCGCGCCAGGGAGCCGCGGCAAUA
This 95-nucleotide ribosomal RNA is filed under the name uncultured bacterium. RNAcentral's name for it is "partial 16S ribosomal RNA". The record is from RNAcentral.